Molecule: transfer RNA, 63 nt
Filed under: Scaphidium formosanum
Lineage: Eukaryota; Metazoa; Arthropoda; Insecta; Coleoptera; Staphylinidae
Description: tRNA-Tyr
Rfam family: tRNA
About the family: Transfer RNA (tRNA) molecules are approximately 80 nucleotides in length.
Source: RNAcentral
GACGAAAUGGCUGAUUAAGGUGAUAAAUUGUAAAUUUAUUUAUGAGAGGGAUCUCUUUCGUCA